AAGGAAAUGAACGGGUUGUCCAGAAUCAAUCUGUUGGAACAUUGUGCUCUGCUCCUUGGUGGAGUAAUGGUUUUAUGUCUCAAUCUGUGGCUUAUGCUGAGCCUUUUGGACAAUUGAAAUCUGCAUCUGUGGAGCAGCAGCCUAAGGGGAAUGCAACAGAGUUCACUAUUUCCUCUGGUGAUUGCAAAUCUUCGGCAAAUGGGCAAAAACUUCCG
This 215-nucleotide unclassified non-coding RNA is filed under the name Hevea brasiliensis (rubber tree). Lineage: Eukaryota; Viridiplantae; Streptophyta; Magnoliopsida; Malpighiales; Euphorbiaceae. The record is from RNAcentral.